Molecule: non-coding RNA, 24 nt
Filed under: Mus musculus (house mouse)
Lineage: Eukaryota; Metazoa; Chordata; Mammalia; Rodentia; Muridae
Source: RNAcentral
UAAGUAAUGUGCUCUGAAUCGUUG